RNAcentral lists this ribosomal RNA (1345 nucleotides) under uncultured bacterium. RNAcentral describes it as "bacterial SSU rRNA". It matches the Rfam family "Bacterial small subunit ribosomal RNA", at positions 28 to 1381 of the family's 1533-position model. The record is from RNAcentral.
GAUGAACGCUAGCGGGAGGCCUAACACAUGCAAGCCGAGCGGUAGAGUCUCUUCGGAGACUUGAGAGCGGCGCACGGGUGCGGAACACGUGUGCAACCUGCCUUUAUCUGGGGGAUAGCCUUUCGAAAGGAAGAUUAAUACCCCAUAAUAUACUGGAUGGCAUCAUCUGGUAUUGAAAACUCCGGUGGAUAGAGAUGGGCACGCGCAAGAUUAGAUAGUUGGUGAGGUAACGGCUCACCAAGUCUACGAUCUUUAGGGGGCCUGAGAGGGUGAUCCCCCACACUGGUACUGAGACACGGACCAGACUCCUACGGGAGGCAGCAGUGAGGAAUAUUGGACAAUGGGUGAGAGCCUGAUCCAGCCAUCCCGCGUGAAGGACGACGGCCCUAUGGGUUGUAAACUUCUUUUGUAUAGGGAUAAACCUAGAUACGUGUAUCUAGCUGAAGGUACUAUACGAAUAAGCACCGGCUAACUCCGUGCCAGCAGCCGCGGUAAUACGGAGGGUGCAAGCGUUAUCCGGAUUUAUUGGGUUUAAAGGGUCCGUAGGCUGAUUUGUAAGUCAGUGGUGAAAUCUCACAGCUUAACUGUGAAACUGCCAUUGAUACUGCAAGUCUUGAGUGUUGUUGAAGUAGCUGGAAUAAGUAGUGUAGCGGUGAAAUGCAUAGAUAUUACUUAGAACACCAAUUGCGAAGGCAGGUUACUAAGCAACAACUGACGCUGAUGGACGAAAGCGUGGGGAGCGAACAGGAUUAGAUACCCUGGUAGUCCACGCCGUAAACGAUGCUAACUCGUUUUUGGGUUUUCGGAUUCAGAGACUAAGCGAAAGUGAUAAGUUAGCCACCUGGGGAGUACGAACGCAAGUUUGAAACUCAAAGGAAUUGACGGGGGCCCGCACAAGCGGUGGAUUAUGUGGUUUAAUUCGAUGAUACGCGAGGAACCUUACCAAGGCUUAAAUGGGAAAUGACAGGUUUAGAAAUAGACUUUUCUUCGGACAUUUUUCAAGGUGCUGCAUGGUUGUCGUCAGCUCGUGCCGUGAGGUGUUAGGUUAAGUCCUGCAACGAGCGCAACCCCUGUCACUAGUUGCCAUCAUUAAGUUGGGGACUCUAGUGAGACUGCCUACGCAAGUAGAGAGGAAGGUGGGGAUGACGUCAAAUCAUCACGGCCCUUACGCCUUGGGCCACACACGUAAUACAAUGGCCGGUACAGAGGGCAGCUACACAGUGAUGUGAUGCAAAUCUCGAAAGCCGGUCUCAGUUCGGAUUGGAGUCCGCAACUCGACUCUAUGAAGCUGGAAUCGCUAGUAAUCGCGCAUCAGCCAUGGCGCGGUGAAUACGUUCCCGGGCCU